This is a non-coding RNA of Gymnothorax javanicus (giant moray), 74 nucleotides long. The record is from the annotation of a GenBank genome assembly. NCBI's taxonomy places the organism in Eukaryota, Metazoa, Chordata, Actinopteri, Anguilliformes, Muraenidae.
GAUGUGGUGGCGCAGUGGUUAAGCGUGCUUGACUCAGGACCAAAAGGUCCUGAGUUCUAGUCCUUGCCAUGGCU